AAGUCGUAACAAGGUUUCCGUAGGUGAACCUGCGGAAGGAUCAUUAUCACGUAUCCACGUAUAAACCAUUGCGAACUGUUUGUACCUUUGGAGGAAAUGGGGUUAGUUUUGUUGGAGCGGGCAUAUGGGAGCUUCUUGUGAUUUAUAAGCUCUCGCUCGAUUUCCAACCAAUGGCUUCGGCUGUUUUACCUGUUUUCUCUGAAGUGUAAUUUUUAUAAAUCACUUUUCUCAUUAACCCUUUAAACCACAAUCUUUAAAACUUCUGAACUAAUCUAUUUCUUACUCUUUGGAGAAGAAAUUUUAUUACGAAACUAAAGAACAACUCUUAGCAACGGAUAUCUUGGUUCUC
This 349-nucleotide unclassified non-coding RNA is filed under the name fungal sp. RNAcentral's name for it is "partial internal transcribed spacer region". The stretch from base 1 to 46 matches the Rfam family "Eukaryotic small subunit ribosomal RNA", at positions 1786 to 1831 of the family's 1831-position model. Lineage: Eukaryota; Fungi. The record is from RNAcentral.